RNAcentral lists this transfer RNA (80 nucleotides) under Trichoderma harzianum CBS 226.95. It matches the Rfam family "tRNA". Rfam says of the family: Transfer RNA (tRNA) molecules are approximately 80 nucleotides in length. Their secondary structure includes four short double-helical elements and three loops (D, anti-codon, and T loops). RNAcentral also lists the same sequence under 1 other name. The record is from Rfam by way of RNAcentral. Lineage: Eukaryota; Fungi; Ascomycota; Sordariomycetes; Hypocreales; Hypocreaceae.
UCCGAUAUGGUGUAGUGGCUAACAUCGCUCGCUCUCAAUAAUGAACCGAGCAGCCCUGGGUUCGAUUCCCAGUAUCGGAG